This 253-nucleotide ribosomal RNA is filed under the name uncultured bacterium. RNAcentral's name for it is "partial 16S ribosomal RNA". It matches the Rfam family "Bacterial small subunit ribosomal RNA", at positions 524 to 776 of the family's 1533-position model. The record is from RNAcentral.
UACGUAGGGUGCGAGCGUUGUCCGGAAUUACUGGGCGUAAAGAGCUCGUAGGUGGUUUGUCGCGUUGUUCGUGAAAACUCACAACUCAAUUGUGGGCGUGCGGGCGAUACGGGCAGACUGGAGUACUGCAGGGGAGACUGGAAUUCCUGGUGUAGCGGUGGAAUGCGCAGAUAUCAGGAGGAACACCGGUGGCGAAGGCGGCAUCCUGGACCGGCAUUGACGCUGAGGAGCGAAAGCCAGGGGAGCAAACGGG